CCCCUAGAUGUCCUGGGCCGCACGCGCAAUACAAUGUAAAGUUCAGAAAGCAUAUCCUGUUCCGGAAGGCAAUGGGUAAUCUUUUCAAUAUUUUACGUGUUAGGGAUCGAUCUUUGCAAUUAUAGAUCUUGAACGAGGAAUGCCUAGUAAGUGCAGCUCAUCAGGCUGUACUGAUUACGUCCCUGCCCUUUGUACACACCGCCCGUCGCUCCUACCGAUUUCGAGUGGUCCGGUGAAUCUUUUGGAAUUAGAGUGCAAACUCAAACUAAGAUCGAUAAACCUUAUCACUUAGAGGAAGGAGAAGUCGUAACA
RNAcentral lists this ribosomal RNA (312 nucleotides) under uncultured eukaryote. Its description in RNAcentral is "partial 18S ribosomal RNA". It matches the Rfam family "Eukaryotic small subunit ribosomal RNA", at positions 1470 to 1796 of the family's 1831-position model. The record is from RNAcentral.